Long non-coding RNA from Zea mays, 573 nucleotides. RefSeq lists it as uncharacterized. The record is from RefSeq and is a predicted model, not a curated record. Lineage: Eukaryota; Viridiplantae; Streptophyta; Magnoliopsida; Poales; Poaceae. The transcript is spliced from 3 exons.
GAAGGUUCCAAAGAUAUGAUUUUCUUUUUUUGCGCUUUGCAGGGAACAAAAAUGGUCUACAAGCAUUUGGCCACACUAUACUUUGUUUUUGUCUUUGAUAUCUCUGAGAAUGAGCUUGCCAUGCUCGACCUCGUACAAGUGUUUGUUGAAACAUUGGACAAAUGCUUCAAGAAUGUAUGCGAGCUUGACAUCGUAUUUAACUUCAACAAGGCAGCAGAAAAGGUGGGACACAGAAGCUGCAUCACCAUUUUUGACAGCAGUUGGGUUAUCUGUUUCAAAUUAUGCCUUUUUAUGCACAUGCCAUAUGCAGUGCUAUGCAAAUCUGAAAGUUUGAGUAUAACAAAUGCCUGAAUCCAAGAAUCCCUGUUAUGCAGAAUAGCUAUACCAUUAUCUAUCCAUCUAAUUAAUUAUUGUGGUUAUAAUAGGCAAUAUAGAUAGGCUUCAAAUGGAUAAUCUGUUUCAAAUUAAACUGGACCCUUCAGGUGAUCUAUGUGUAGCCCUGAGUUCACAACCUGAGUUCUGCAAAAUCAGAUUCAAACACACACACAAAUGAAAUUUUGUCAUUUGGAAAAA